AUAGGUAAUUAAACAGUUAUUUAAUUAUUUGCAACAAAGUGAUAACAAAAUUAUUUGUAAUUUUUGUGACUCAGAUUGUUUGAUUUUCUGCUCAUAGUUGUUUGCUUGUUUGAAUGUUAAUUUUGAUGGUCCAAAUCGCUUACUAUCCAUAAUGCUAAUUUUAAAUUGCCAGGAAUGUAGAGAUUUCUGGUAACAUUGUUGAAGAACUCUUUUACUUAUUUCUCAUUAUUGUCCUCAAUGCAGGAUAUUAUGCUAAAUCGGAGU
Molecule: unclassified non-coding RNA, 264 nt
Filed under: Hevea brasiliensis (rubber tree)
Lineage: Eukaryota; Viridiplantae; Streptophyta; Magnoliopsida; Malpighiales; Euphorbiaceae
Source: RNAcentral